UUUCAACCUUUUGAUGUUUUGGCAAAAAUUAAGGGUUUCUAACAUUGACUUUUGGGCCAAAAUUAAGGGUUUAUAACAUUGAAAAUUGAGAAAACCAUGUCCUUGUGCUAGUUCAUUUCUUUGUAUGAUUUAUUCAUGAUUAACCAAAAUUCUAGAAAUAAAAAAAUAUUCAAAUAUUAAAUCCUUUUUGUUGGGGCCACGGUUUUUUAAUUUGUUGGUUUACGGAUUUUUCUCAUAAAAAAGUCGGGUCGGUCGGUCGGAAAAAAAAAAGAAAAAAAAAAUAUCUUUCAAAACAGAAAAAUAUGCAAAAUAAAUAUAUAUAUUUCACCUUACUUAACAAAAUGUGUCUUAUUUGCUGUUUUGUCAUCAUUUCUUAACAUUUAUUUCGAUGAAAUAUUAUUGAUCAGUGAUCAUGAACAUCGCAUGACAUCGUUUAAUAACUUCCUGUAAAAAAAGGGGGGUUGCACGGACAAAGACGAAAUUAAAUCGUCAUUUCACAAACAAGAAAA
Molecule: long non-coding RNA, 509 nt
Filed under: Mytilus galloprovincialis (Mediterranean mussel)
Lineage: Eukaryota; Metazoa; Mollusca; Bivalvia; Mytilida; Mytilidae
Source: RNAcentral